RNAcentral lists this long non-coding RNA (3069 nucleotides) under Lathyrus oleraceus (garden pea). RNAcentral's name for it is "Pisum sativum (pea) long non-coding RNA (PSAT_LNC019919)". The record is from RNAcentral. Lineage: Eukaryota; Viridiplantae; Streptophyta; Magnoliopsida; Fabales; Fabaceae.
UUUAAUUUUGGAUAUUCUUUGUCCAAAUACUACUUUUUCCAACCAAUGUUAUGUUUUGGUUUGAUGCUCACUAAUUAUUUCAUGAAACAAACUGUUUUCAUUUGUUUUCACUAGCUCUUCCAACUAAAAGACUAAUUCAACUUCAAAAGUAACAUUUUGUCAAAUCAAUCUAUGACACUUCCAUCACAAAUUUUCAUUCUCAAUGUUGCAUCACGCACACACAGACACACACUUCAUCCUUCCCAUUAAUAUAUCUUCUCUCGUUAGCGUGAUUCUUUUUCUCUCUUACAUUCAAUAGGUUUUUGAAACCCUUUCUCUCUCUGACAAUUUCUUGGCUCUACAUUUCUUCUUUCUCCAAAGAAUUUCUUCAUUCUCUAGCAUAAUUUCUCCCUUCUCUGUGUUUCAGUUUAGAGACUUACAAGUGAUGUUUUGUUUUGAAUUCUUAUGUUAUUUUGAUUCUUUGUCCCAAUAUUUUUUCAGUCAUGGUUUACAAAAAUUCCUUAUACCAAAAGUUAUUGCAAACCUAUUUUCAUAAACUGAUUUACAUAUUCUUUGUUGCAAACCACAACUUUUUAUCAUUAACGAAAAAUGCUUUAUUGCUUCAUGGUUAAUGAUUUGUUUGAUUCAAUAUUUUCUUGAGUGAUGUUUUGGACGUGUUUUUUUAAGGUUAUUGUUUAUCUUCAACCUUAUACUAGAAUCAAAGAAUUAGUUUCACUCUAGGAUCUGUAAGCUAGGGUUCGAUUUCAAAAUCAAUGCAAAUUUUUGUUAAGUAUUUUGUUAACUACUUAGAUUUAAUUUCUCAUUAUUUUGUUUUUUCUUUUGUGAUUUUUCUUUAUAAUGUUGUUACGUUUUUCAAAUUUAGUUGUUCGAUGUUGGUUGUUUGUUGACUCAUUAUGUAAUUUGUUUCUCACAAUGCACUUGAUUCGACAUGCUCUUUAUUUUUACUAUUUUUUUAAAUUAAUUUUUAGGUGAUUAAAGGUUAAUGUUUGGUUGUUUGAAGGAGAGGUCGAAUGUUUGAAGGUUUUCAGGGGAAGGAGAUGAAGGUGUGUGAAAAAUUGUGGUAUUUUCUAGGUAAGGGAUGAAGAAAUGGAUGAAUAUAAGGGUACUGGGGUUUGAGAUUAUGAAGGAUUGAAGGUGUUUUUUGGGGGAAAUGGAAGAACAGGUUGAAUGUAUAAAGAUUAUGGUGAAGAAUAAUGAAUGAGGUAAAGAUUUCUGAAAAAGAGACGGGUUCCGUUUCACGAAAUUGAUGGUUUUCUAGGGAAUAUUAUGAAGGUUUGAUGAGGGUUUUCUUGUAUAAGUUUGAGGGAACGGGAGAUGAUGAGAGAGAAAAAUUCAAAUAAAAUAAAAUAUAGUUCCUUUUCUUGUGAUUAUCAGGACAGGAAAGAGAUAAGGGAAAUCCAUAGGGGUCAAAUUGGACGUUGCCACGAGUGAAUAUGCGUAGGGAUGAGGAUAUGACCAAAAGAUGGAAAUAGCAGUUAACACAAGGAUGACUUUCUUAUGAUUUGAUAUUGAUCAAUUUAAAAACACAUUGAAUAUGAAAACUGAAUUUUAAUUUACUCCUAUUAUUUUAUAGUUCUCUGUGUCUCUCUGUAUAGUGAAUUAUUUUAUGCUGCAAAGACAGUUACUCAAUGUUUAAGGGAGUUCAAAUUAUGUGUUUAUUUUUUAUCCAACACUUCCCCAUCUCAAGAAUUCUUGCAUGGCUUAAGAGACAUAGAUGUGUUUACUAUAUAUAACUUUUAUCUUUUUCUUUAAUACAUGCUUGAAAAUUAUGAUGAAAUUUUGCGGCCAUCUCAUAUAUCUGGAUAUUUAUACAUUAGAAUUGUACUUACGUUCCAAACCUCUAUUAGUUUACUUUGCAUCGAUCUAUUUGUCAUUGCCUAACAGAUUAGUACUAACUGGAUUUUUCUUUUUUGCUAUAGAGAUGGGUGGCACUACCGAGUGAACCUCCAAGAAUUAAUGAUACCGAUGUAGAUGAUUGGCUUCUUCGCAUUUUUGUUCUUCAGGGUGAAUGUUUAUUCUUAUAUUUGUUCUAUAUAAGUAGUUAACUAACUUCUAUUUUAUAUGCUCAACUGUAGUUUUCUUCACACUUAAAUGCCUUAAUCUGAAGAUCUUUCAAUGUCAAAACAAGAAACACUUUUAAUUAUUGUACUUAAUCAAUAUUGGAUGCGAGUUUCGCCAACAUAUGGCUUCCAAUAGUUUUUGCCAAAAGAAAUUUUGUGGAUUGACAUUUCUUUAUACAUGUUUUCUAAGUGCAGUUCAUGUAGAAAUGGUGAUUCAACCACAAUCUCUGAUAACGCGAAAAUGUAUCGUAUAUUUGACUUAAUAUGCACUGCUUUUACUUGAUUAACACUUAGUAUUUUAUGUUUAUUUCAGGUAUUUAUCGAAUAAAAGAUGUAUAGACAAGUAAAGAGGAAAAUAGAAAAAAGAAAAGAAAAAGAGAAGAAAAUGGAGCAAAAUAGGAAUGGUGGGCCCACCACACAUGGAAGCAUGGCGCCCACCACACCAAAUGAAUGGUGGCGCCCACCACUUGGAUAUGUGGCGCCCGUCACAUGGCUUUAGGAAGUGGUGGUGCCCACCUCACACAAUGUGGCGCCCGCCACAAGGCCUUAAGAAGUGGUGGUGCCCAUCUCACAUAAUGUGGCGCCCGCCACGUAGACCACAUUAGGAUUGUGACAGCCGCCAUCAACCCGGUCUUCCUUAUUCUUCUCCACACUUUUUGCCACGACCUUCUCUUACGUUUUCAACUAACCACUCCCCACUAGUAGAUAUCCAAUGCUACGUUUAAGGAGAGUGGGGAGUAUAUAUGGGAAGGUUAGUUUUUACGAAAAGGAUGCAUUUUUCUAGUCAGAUUGUUGUUGUUAGAUUUUUUUUCUUAGGCAGUUUCCUACUUUGGAAAAGUAAUAGAUUCUCCACAUCAGGGACUAUUGCAAUUAUUGUUUAAGUAUCUGAAUUUGAUUGUAACGGUGUACUGGAUUGCCAAAGCAUGACGACAUUGUUUAAUUUGAAGAAUCAGUAUUCAUUCCAAGUUCUCGAUUUAUAUUCCAGGUUUUAUUUUAAUUGCCAUUUUAA